GGCGAACGACGGGUAGCCGACCUGAGAGGGUGAAUCGGCCACACUGGGACUGAGACACGGCCCAGACUCCUACGGGAGGCAGCAGUGGGGAAUAUUGCACAAUGGGCGCAAGCCUGAUGCAGCGACGCCGCGUGAGGGAUGACGGCCUUCGGGUUGUAAACCUCUUUCACCAGGGACGAAGCGUGAGUGACGGUACCUGGAGAAGAAGCACCGGCCAACUACGUGCCAGCAGCCGCGGUAAUACGUAGGGUGCGAGCGUUGUCCGGAAUUACUGGGCGUAAAGAGCUCGUAGGCGGUUUGUCGCGUCGUCUGUGAAAUUCUGCAACUCAAUUGCAGGCGUGCAGGCGAUACGGGCAGACUUGAGUACUACAGGGGAGACUGGAAUUCCUGGUGUAGCGGUGAAAUGCGCAGAUAUCAGGAGGAACACCGGUGGCGAAGGCGGGUCUCUGGGUAGUAACUGACGCUGAGGAGCGAAAGCGUGGGUAGCGAACAGGAUUAGAUACCCUGGUAGUCCACGCCGUAAACGGUGGGUACUAGGUGUGGGUUCCUUUUCACGGGAUCCGUGCCGUAGCUAACGCAUUAAGUACCCCGCCUGGGG
RNAcentral lists this ribosomal RNA (598 nucleotides) under Gordonia sp. (in: high G+C Gram-positive bacteria). RNAcentral describes it as "bacterial SSU rRNA". It matches the Rfam family "Bacterial small subunit ribosomal RNA", at positions 271 to 878 of the family's 1533-position model. Lineage: Bacteria; Bacillati; Actinomycetota; Actinomycetes; Mycobacteriales; Gordoniaceae. The record is from RNAcentral.